This 459-nucleotide ribosomal RNA is filed under the name uncultured bacterium. Its description in RNAcentral is "partial 16S ribosomal RNA". It matches the Rfam family "Bacterial small subunit ribosomal RNA", at positions 338 to 795 of the family's 1533-position model. The record is from RNAcentral.
CCUACGGGAGGCUGCAGUGAGGAAUAUUGCUCAAUGGCCGGAACGCUGAACCAGCCAAGCCGCGUGAAGGACGAAGGUGCCAAGCAUUGUAAACUUCUUUCGUCAAGGGACAAAAUCAGGCGCGAGAGCCUGACCGAGGGUACUUGAAGAAAACGCAGCGGCAAACUCCGGGCCAGCAGCCGCGGUAAUCCGGAGGAUGCGAGGGUUAUCCGGAUUUAUUGGGUUAAAAGGGUGCGUAGGCGGACUGUUAGGUCAGCGGUAAAAGCCCGGGGCUCAACCCCGGAGAGCCGUUGAAACUGGCUGUCUUGAGAUGUCGAGAGGUAUGCGGAAUGCGCAGUGUAGCGGUGAAAUGCUUAGAUAUUGCGCAGAACUCCGAUUGCGAAGGCAGCAUACCGGAGGCGAUCUGACGCUGAGGCACGAAAGCGUGGGUAUCGAACAGGAUUAGAUACCCUAGUAGUC